RNAcentral lists this unclassified non-coding RNA (346 nucleotides) under soil metagenome. RNAcentral describes it as "partial contains 5.8S ribosomal RNA, internal transcribed spacer 2, and large subunit ribosomal RNA". The stretch from base 1 to 120 matches the Rfam family "5.8S ribosomal RNA", at positions 35 to 154 of the family's 154-position model. The record is from RNAcentral.
GAUGAAGAACGUAGCGAAAUGCGAUACGUAAUGUGAAUUGCAGAAUUCAGUGAAUCAUCGAGUCUUUGAACGCACAUUGCGCCCCCUGGUAUUCCGGGGGGCAUGCCUGUCCGAGCGUCAUUGCUGCCCUCAAGCCCGGCUUGUGUGUUGGGUCUCGCCCCCCUUCCCGGGGGGACGGGCCCGAAAGGCAGCGGCGGCACCGCGUCCGGUCCUCGAGCGUAUGGGGCUUUGUCACCCGCUCUGUAGGCCCGGCCGGCGCUUGCCGAUCAACCAAAACUUUUUUCCAGGUUGACCUCGGAUCAGGUAGGGAUACCCGCUGAACUUAAGCAUAUCAAUAAGCGGAGGA